AAAGAAAUAGUUUAUAAAAAAUAUGUGAUUUGGGGUCAUAAGAUGUGUUUCUCACUUUCUUUA
This 63-nucleotide transfer RNA is filed under the name Proales similis. RNAcentral's name for it is "tRNA-Pro". The record is from RNAcentral. Lineage: Eukaryota; Metazoa; Rotifera; Eurotatoria; Ploima; Proalidae.